GAUGAAGAACGUAGCGAAAUGCGAUAAGUAAUGUGAAUUGCAGAAUUCAGUGAAUCAUCGAAUCUUUGAACGCACAUUGCGCCCGCCAGCACUCUGGCGGGCAUGCCUGUUCGAGCGUCAUUUCAACCAUCAAGCCCCCAGGGGCUUGUGCUGGGGCCCUGCGGCUGCCCGCAGGCCCUGAAAACCAGUGGCGGGCUCGCUAGUCACACCGAGCGCAGUAGCACAUCUCGCUCAGGGCGUGCGGCGGGCUCCUGCCGUGAAACCCCCCACUGUAACCCCAAAGGUUGACCUCGGAUCAGGUAGGAAUACCCGCUGAACUUAAGCAUAUCAAUAAGCGGUGGA
RNAcentral lists this unclassified non-coding RNA (342 nucleotides) under soil metagenome. Its description in RNAcentral is "partial contains 5.8S ribosomal RNA, internal transcribed spacer 2, and large subunit ribosomal RNA". The stretch from base 1 to 120 matches the Rfam family "5.8S ribosomal RNA", at positions 35 to 154 of the family's 154-position model. The record is from RNAcentral.